GGGGUUGUGGCUCAGUGGUAGAGUGUUUACCUAGCAUGCAUGAGGCACUGGGUUCAAUCCUCAGCACCACA
RNAcentral lists this transfer RNA (71 nucleotides) under Marmota monax (woodchuck). RNAcentral's name for it is "tRNA.Ala". The record is from RNAcentral. Lineage: Eukaryota; Metazoa; Chordata; Mammalia; Rodentia; Sciuridae.